CGCUAGCUACAGGCUUAACACAUGCAAGUCGAGGGGCAGCAUGGUCUUAGCUUGCUAAGGCCGAUGGCGACCGGCGCACGGGUGAGUAACACGUAUCCAACCUGCCGUCUACUCUUGGACAGCCUUCUGAAAGGAAGAUUAAUACAAGAUGGCAUCAUGAGUCCGCAUGUUCACAUGAUUAAAGGUAUUCCGGUAGACGAUGGGGAUGCGUUCCAUUAGAUAGUAGGCGGGGUAACGGCCCACCUAGUCUUCGAUGGAUAGGGGUUCUGAGAGGAAGGUCCCCCACAUUGGAACUGAGACACGGUCCAAACUCCUACGGGAGGCAGCAGUGAGGAAUAUUGGUCAAUGGGUGAGAGCCUGAACCAGCCAAGUAGCGUGAAGGAUGACUGCCCUAUGGGUUGUAAACUUCUUUUAUAAAGGAAUAAAGUCGGGUAUGGAUACCCGUUUGCAUGUACUUUAUGAAUAAGGAUCGGCUAACUCCGUGCCAGCAGCCGCGGUAAUACGGAGGAUCCGAGCGUUAUCCGGAUUUAUUGGGUUUAAAGGGAGCGUAGAUGGAUGUUUAAGUCAGUUGUGAAAGUUUGCGGCUCAACCGUAAAAUUGCAGUUGAUACUGGAUAUCUUGAGUGCAGUUGAGGCAGGCGGAAUUCGUGGUGUAGCGGUGAAAUGCUUAGAUAUCACGAAGAACUCCGAUUGCGAAGGCAGCCUGCUAAGCUGCAACUGACAUUGAGGCUCGAAAGUGUGGGUAUCAAACAGGAUUAGAUACCCUGGUAGUCCACACGGUAAACGAUGAAUACUCGCUGUUUGCGAUAUACAGCAAGCGGCCAAGCGAAAGCGUUAAGUAUUCCACCUGGGGAGUACGCCGGCAACGGUGAAACUCAAAGGAAUUGACGGGGGCCCGCACAAGCGGAGGAACAUGUGGUUUAAUUCGAUGAUACGCGAGGAACCUUACCCGGGCUUAAAUUGCAGAUGAAUUACGGUGAAAGCCGUAAGCCGCAAGGCAUCUGUGAAGGUGCUGCAUGGUUGUCGUCAGCUCGUGCCGUGAGGUGUCGGCUUAAGUGCCAUAACGAGCGCAACCCUUGUUGUCAGUUACUAACAGGUCAUGCUGAGGACUCUGACAAGACUGCCAUCGUAAGAUGUGAGGAAGGUGGGGAUGACGUCAAAUCAGCACGGCCCUUACGUCCGGGGCUACACACGUGUUACAAUGGGGGGUACAGAGGGCCGCUACCACGCGAGUGGAUGCCAAUCCCAAAAACCUCUCUCAGUUCGGACUGGAGUCUGCAACCCGACUCCACGAAGCUGGAUUCGCUAGUAAUCGCGCAUCAGCCACGGCGCGGUGAAUACGUUCCCGGGCCUUGUACACACCGCCCGUCAAGCCAUGGGAGCCGGGGGUACCUGAAGUGCGUAACCGCGAGGAGCGCCCUAGGGUAAAACUGGUGACU
Molecule: ribosomal RNA, 1438 nt
Filed under: uncultured organism
Description: SSU rRNA
Rfam family: Bacterial small subunit ribosomal RNA
Source: RNAcentral